GGGCCCAUAGCUCAACGGUAGAGCAGUACCCUCUUAAGGUAUUUGUUGGAGGUUCGAAUCCUCCUGGGCUCA
RNAcentral lists this transfer RNA (72 nucleotides) under Patescibacteria group bacterium. RNAcentral's name for it is "tRNA-Lys". It matches the Rfam family "tRNA". From Rfam's summary of the family: Transfer RNA (tRNA) molecules are approximately 80 nucleotides in length. Their secondary structure includes four short double-helical elements and three loops (D, anti-codon, and T loops). The record is from RNAcentral.